Molecule: long non-coding RNA, 639 nt
Filed under: Hordeum vulgare
Lineage: Eukaryota; Viridiplantae; Streptophyta; Magnoliopsida; Poales; Poaceae
Description: long non-coding RNA (HVUL_LNC017724)
Source: RNAcentral
UAUGGAUGCGAGAUCAAAGCGAUAGAAAACCUACUUGUUAUAUAUCAUGUUGAAUCAACAAAUAAAGACGUACAAAAAAUACAAUUAAAUAUUGUCCAGUUUCUCAAUUCUCAGUCCCCCAUUUCAACAAUGAAGACGCAAUACUGACCAGAGUUUAUAAAUUUUUAUCGGCCAUCAAAGCAGAUUGGGUACAGCGUCGUCUACGUUUUCUGGAAUGACCAUCUCGCCUGUUGGCUUGCCGUCGUUGGGGUCAUGGGGCAACUCCGGCUCAAGUUGUUGCAUUCUCAUACCAGCAAGCAUGUUUGUCGUCGUCCACGGAUGUUGGACUGUUCCUGGUACGAAGGACGCUACACCUACAUGUGAUGAGAAAACGGAGGAUCACUUGUGUCCGUGAAGCCUGAUGUGGCACUCUUGGAUUGGAUGGCUGUCGUCUUAUGCGAAAGGCGAGCACUUCCUAGGAGGGUCAAGCUAAGCAUGGCUGUUUCUGUACCAUGCUCUUUUUUUUUGGUUCACCCCGGUACCCUACAGACAAAUAAGCACACAUCCGUAGGACUCCUCCAGGUGAACGCCACGUCGUUGAUGUUCUUCGACUAGCUCAUGACAACAACGACAAAGUAGAAGAUGAGCAGUCCGAGAUUG